GAUGAAGAACGUAGCGAAAUGCGAUAAGUAAUGUGAAUUGCAGAAUUCAGUGAAUCAUCGAAUCUUUCAACGCACAUUGCGCCCGCUAGUAUUCUGGCGGGCAUGCCUGUCCGAGCGUCAUUUCAACCCUCAAGCCCCCGGGCUUGGUGUUGGGGAUCGGCGAGCCUCCGCGCCCGCCGUCCCCUAAAUCUAGUGGCGGUCUCGCUGUAGCUUCCUCUGCGUAGUAGCACACCUCGCACUGGGAAACAGCGCGGCCACGCCGUUAAACCCCCAACUUCUGAACGUUUGACCUCGGAUCAGGUAGGAAUACCCGCUGAACUUAAGCAUAUCAAUAAGCGGAGGA
Molecule: unclassified non-coding RNA, 343 nt
Filed under: soil metagenome
Description: partial contains 5.8S ribosomal RNA, internal transcribed spacer 2, and large subunit ribosomal RNA
Rfam family: 5.8S ribosomal RNA (bases 1-120)
Source: RNAcentral